This 889-nucleotide ribosomal RNA is filed under the name Anaerolineaceae bacterium enrichment culture clone L35B_32. RNAcentral describes it as "bacterial SSU rRNA". It matches the Rfam family "Bacterial small subunit ribosomal RNA", at positions 8 to 916 of the family's 1533-position model. Lineage: Bacteria; Bacillati; Chloroflexota; Anaerolineae; Anaerolineales; Anaerolineaceae. The record is from RNAcentral.
AGAGUUUGAUCAUGGCUCAGGAUGAACGUUGGCGGUGUGCCUAAUACAUGCAAGUCGAACGGAGUUAAUAGCAAUAUUGACUUAGUGGCGAACGGGUGAGUAACGCGUUGGUGAUCUGCCUCGAAGUGUGGAAUAACGUUCCGAAAGGAUCGCUAAUACCGCAUGUGCUCUCGAUUUUUAGAAGCUUGAGAGUAAAGGAUUUAUUCGCUUCGAGAGGAGCCUGCGUCCCAUCAGCUGGUUGGUAGGGUAACGGCCUACCAAGGCUAUGACGGGUAGGGGACCUGAGAGGGUGGCCCCCCACAAUGGAACUGAAACACGGUCCAUACACCUACGGGUGGCAGCAGUAGGGAAUAUUAGAAAUGGACGAAAGUCUGAUCUAGCAACACCGCGUGUGCGAAGAAGGCCUUCGGGUCGUAAAGCACUUUUUGGAAGGAAUAGGAAGGAAUGUACUUCCAGAAUAAGUCUCGGCUAACUACGUGCCAGCAGCCGCGGUAACACGUAGGAGGCAAACGUUAUCCGGAUUUACUGGGCGUAAAGCGCGUGUAGGUGGUACUGUAAGUAGGGCGUGAAAGCUCCCGGCUCAACUGGGAGAGGCCGUUCUAAACUGCAGAACUAGAGGAUGGUAGAGGGAGGUGGAAUUCCAGGUGUAGCGGUGGAAUGCGCAGAUAUCUGGAGGAACACCAGUGGCGAAGGCGGCCUCCUGGACCAUUCCUGACACUCAGACGCGAAAGCUAGGGUAGCAAACGGGAUUAGAGACCCCGGUAGUCCUAGCCCUAAACGAUGUAGACUAGGCGUCGGUGGUUUAAUCACCAUCGGUGUCCAAGCUAACGCGAUAAGUCUACCGCCUGGGGACUACGGCCGCAAGGUUAAAACUCAAAUGAAUUGACGG